UACGGAGGGUGCAAGCAUUAAUCGGAUUUACUGGGCGUAAAGGGCGCGUAGGCGGAAUAGUAAGUCAUUAGGUGAAAUUCCAAGGCUCAACCUUGGAGCUGCCUGUGAAACUACUGAACUAGAGCUAAGACGGAGAAAACGGAAUUCCACGUGUAGCGGUGAAAUGCGUAGAUAUGUGGAAGAACACCGGUGGCGAAAGCGGUUUUCUAGUUUUAAGCUGACGCUGAGGCGCGAAAGUGAGGGGAGCAAACAGGAUUAGAUACCCUGGUAGUCCUCACUGUAAACGUUGCAUACUUGAUGGAGUUGGGCUCAACCCCAGCUGUGUCGGAGCUAACGCGAUAAGUAUGCCGCCUGAGGAGUACGGCCGCAAGGUUGAAACUCAAAAGAAUUGACGGGGGCCCGCACAAGUAGUGGAGCAUGUGGUUUAAUUCGAUGCAACGCGAAGAACCUUACCCAGGCUUGACAUGCAGAUUAAUAUAUCAGAGAUGAUAUAGCCUUCGGGGAUCUGUACAGGUGCUGCAUGGCUGUCGUCAGCUCGUGCCGUGAGGUGUUGGGUUAAGUCCCGCAACGAGCGCAACCCUUAUUGUUAGUUGCCAGCGAGUAAAGUCGGGGACUCUAGCAAGACUGCCUAGGUUAACUAGGAGGAAGGUGAGGAUGACGUCAAGUCAGCAUGGCCCUUAUGUCUGGGGCUACACACGUGCUACAAUGGUCGGUACAAAGGGCAGCCAAACCGCGAAGUGGAGCAAAUCCCAGAAAGCCGAUCUCAGUUCGGAUUGUAGUCUGCAAUUUGACUACAUGAAGCUGGAAUUACUAGUAAUGGCGUGUCAGCAAUAACGCCGUGAAUACGUUCUCGGGCCU
Molecule: ribosomal RNA, 858 nt
Filed under: uncultured bacterium
Lineage: Bacteria
Description: SSU rRNA
Rfam family: Bacterial small subunit ribosomal RNA
Source: RNAcentral